UUACUACUCCCUCCGUCUCAUAUUAAGUGACUCAACUUUGCCCAAUAUGGAUGUAUUUAUAUUUAAAAAGCGUCUAGAUACAUGUAAUAUUUCGUCACUUAAUAUGGGACGGAGGGAGUAUAAA
Non-coding RNA from Brachypodium distachyon (stiff brome), 124 nucleotides. The record is from Rfam. Lineage: Eukaryota; Viridiplantae; Streptophyta; Magnoliopsida; Poales; Poaceae.